GCCCGGUGCAGUGGUUCGCACCUGUGAUCCCAGCAACUUGGGAGGCUGAGGCAGGAGAAUUGCAAGUUUGAGGCCAGCUUCAGCAACUUAGCAAGAUGCUGUCUCAA
RNAcentral lists this small RNA (107 nucleotides) under Marmota monax (woodchuck). Lineage: Eukaryota; Metazoa; Chordata; Mammalia; Rodentia; Sciuridae. The record is from RNAcentral.